GAGGCGUCCCGGACAGUGGCUUGGUGGCGCGCAGUUCCCCUUGACUGUGCGCGCCCCCGUCUGGGCUCCUUUGCAGAGGACUCGGUAGCUGCAGCUCCCGGAGCACAGCGGACAGAGCUGCGGGCUGCGUGCGCCCCUGCUGCCACCGGGCCUGCCGCGGUGGCUCCCGCGCCCCGCGGCGACUUCCGCUCCCGCGCUUCUCUUUGUUCAAGUCCCCGAGCGGCGGCGGGGUCGGAGCCCGCGCCUUGGGCGACUGAGGCGGCCGCAGUCCGCGCCCCGGCGCCCUGGCGAUGCCGGACCAGAUCUCCGUGUCGGAAUUCGUGGCCGAGGCCCUUGAGGACUACAAGGCACCCACUGCCUCUAGCUUCACCAUGGGCACGGCCCAGUGCCGGAACACCGCGGCGGCCAUCGAGGAGGUUUAGUCUCCACUGCCAGCUGCCAUGGGCAAGCAGAACAGCAAGCUGGAUCCUGAGGUGCUGCAGGACUUGCAGAAACACAGGGAGUUCGCUGACCAUGAGUUUCAGGAAUGGUAGAAGGGCUCCCUCAAUGAGUGUCCCAAUGGCCACUUGAAAAAAUUUCAAGAUCUAGGCCAACUUCUUCCCCUACAGAGACACCUCCAAGUUCGCUGAAUAUGUCUUCCACAUGUUUGACACCAACAGUGACAGCACCAUCGACUUGGGAGUGUUCAUCAUUGCUCUGAGUGUAACCUCCCUGGGCAAGCUGGA
RNAcentral lists this long non-coding RNA (725 nucleotides) under Mus musculus (house mouse). Its description in RNAcentral is "predicted gene, 49700". The record is from RNAcentral. Lineage: Eukaryota; Metazoa; Chordata; Mammalia; Rodentia; Muridae.